Molecule: ribosomal RNA, 440 nt
Filed under: uncultured bacterium
Lineage: Bacteria
Description: partial 16S ribosomal RNA
Rfam family: Bacterial small subunit ribosomal RNA
Source: RNAcentral
CCUACGGGAGGCAGCAGUAGGGAAUAUUGCUCAAUGGGCGAAACCCUGAAGCAGCAACGCCGCGUGGAGGAUGAAGGUUUUCGGAUUGUAAACUCCUUUUGUUAGAGAAGAUAAUGACGGUAUCUAACGAAUAAGCACCGGCUAACUCCGUGCCAGCAGCCGCGGUAAUACGGAGGGUGCAAGCGUUACUCGGAACUACUGGGCGUAAAGGGCGCGUAGGCGGGAUAGCAAGUCUGAUGUGAAAUCGUAGGGCUUAACCAUAGAAAUGCAUUGGAAACUGUUAUUCUAGAGUAUGGGAGAGGUAGGUGGAAUUCUUGGUGUAGGGGUAAAAUGCGUAGAGAUCAAGAGGAAUACUCAUUGCGAAGGCGACCUGCUAGAACAUAACUGACGCUGAUGCGCGAAAGCGUGGGGAGCAAACAGGAUUAGAUACCCCAGUAGUC